Molecule: unclassified non-coding RNA, 279 nt
Filed under: Basidiomycota sp.
Lineage: Eukaryota; Fungi; Basidiomycota
Description: partial contains small subunit ribosomal RNA, internal transcribed spacer 1, and 5.8S ribosomal RNA
Rfam family: Eukaryotic small subunit ribosomal RNA (bases 1-47)
Source: RNAcentral
AAAGUCGUAACAAGGUUUCCGUAGGUGAACCUGCGGAAGGAUCAUUAAUGAAACUUCAAAGUCGGCCCCGUUCCGUGCUGGUGGUAAUGCACAUGUGCACGUUCGCGGUCGCAAAUCCACACACCUGUGCAUCCUACGACUCUGAGCGCCGCUUUGCAUGGUCGACCGAGGGGGAGACCUGGCGCUCGAGUAACUUUUACACACUCUGAAUGUAAUGGAAUGUCUUUGUGCGAUAUGUACAACUAAAAACAACUUUCAACAACGGAUCUCUUGGCUCUC